RNAcentral lists this ribosomal RNA (453 nucleotides) under uncultured bacterium. Its description in RNAcentral is "bacterial SSU rRNA". It matches the Rfam family "Bacterial small subunit ribosomal RNA", at positions 340 to 785 of the family's 1533-position model. The record is from RNAcentral.
UACGGAAGGCAGCAGUGGGGAAUAUUGCACAAUGGGCGCAAGCCUGAUGCAGCCGUGCCGCGUGUAUGAAGAAGGCCUUCGGGUUGUAAAGUACUUUCAGUCGUGAGGAAGGUGUUAAGGUUAAUAACCUUAGCAAUUGACGUUAGCGACAGAAGAAGCACCGGCUAACUCCGUGCCAGCAGCCGCGGUAAUACGGAGGGUGCGAGCGUUAAUCGGAAUUACUGGGCGUAAAGGGCACGCAGGCGGUUAAUUAAGUUGGAUGUGAAAUCCCCGGGCUUAACCUGGGAAUGGCAUUCAAGACUGGUUAGCUAGAGUCUUGUAGAGGGGGUUAGAAUUCCAUGUGUAGCGGUGAAAUGCGUAGAGAUGUGGAGGAAUACCGGUGGCGAAGGCGGCCCCUGGACAAAGACUGACGCUCAUGUGCGAAAGCGUGGGGAGCAAACAGGGAUUAGAUAC